This 478-nucleotide ribosomal RNA is filed under the name uncultured bacterium. Its description in RNAcentral is "partial 16S ribosomal RNA". It matches the Rfam family "Bacterial small subunit ribosomal RNA", at positions 28 to 507 of the family's 1533-position model. The record is from RNAcentral.
GAUGAACGCUGGCGGCGUGCUUAACACAUGCAAGUCGAACGAGAAGUGAAGACGGAAGCCUUCGGGCGGAAGGCGUUAUUUGGAGUGGCGGACGGUGGAUUACCGCCUGGUUAACCUGCCUCAUCCAGGGGAAUCACAGUUGGAAACGACUGAUAAUACCGAAUCAGACCACAGCACCGCAUGGUACGGUGGUAAAAACUCCGAUAGAUUGAGAUGCACCCCCGUGCGAUUAGCCAGAUGGCGUGGUAACGGCCCACCAAAGCGACGAUCGACAGCCGAGCAGAGAGGAUGAGCCGACACAUUGGCACGGAGCCACGGCCGAAACUCCUACGGGAGGCAGCAGUGGGGAAUAUUGCACAGCGGCGGAAAUCCUGAUGGAGCGCCGAUGGGAGAGUGCAGAAGUAUUUCAGUAUGUAAAGCGCUAGCAGCAGGGAAGAAAAUGACGGUACCUGAGCAAGAAGCCCCGGCUAACUACGUG